Molecule: transfer RNA, 90 nt
Filed under: Sulfurifustis variabilis
Lineage: Bacteria; Pseudomonadati; Pseudomonadota; Gammaproteobacteria; Acidiferrobacterales; Acidiferrobacteraceae
Description: tRNA-Ser
Rfam family: tRNA
About the family: Transfer RNA (tRNA) molecules are approximately 80 nucleotides in length. Their secondary structure includes four short double-helical elements and three loops (D, anti-codon, and T loops).
Source: RNAcentral
GGAGAGGUGGCCGAGUGGUUGAAGGCGCUGGUCUCGAAAACCAGUAUGCGGGUAACCGCAUCGAGGGUUCGAAUCCCUCCCUCUCCGCCA